ACCUGAUAUUCAAAAACCAAAACUUGUUUUGAGAGAUACUAGAUAGCAUUUGUGAACAGAAAGACUGGAGGACAGAAAAGAUUUUUGUGGAAUUUAACCAUGGAGAACUUCUAGAAUUUUACAACAAGUUGGAAACUAUACAAGCACAACUGGACUCUCUUACGUGACUCAUAAUUUGAACAAGAAAUGGUCUUCCAAAAAUAUAUCUGUCAGCUGUAGGUUGAAUAACUAAAGAAUUUUCAUAAUAAUCGUUGUUGGAGAAAUCGAAUGAAUUGAUUCCAUUAAGUAUCACAGCAUAGCUGUAAAAGUACCAUUUUUGGAUAUCUUUGCCAGCCAAUGAAUCUUGAAUUUGACAAAUUGUUACAUAACAUUCAAUAGCACAUGAGCUGAGUAUCAGCUACCUAAAUACUGCCUUGUAUUGAUUUAGGAUUAUCAAUGUCAAUUAAGAACAUCCUAAUAAUUUCACCAUGAUGUGAUGUUUGGAUUUAUGAAUGGAAGAUUGGGCAAGAAUGUAUGUUGUUUGAAAAUAAAAUUGUGACACAGCUUUAGAACGGUUUCAGCAGCAAUAAUGGUUUCCAUUUUCAUUGUCUUGUGAAGACCGGAAGAUGGAUGAACUUAACGUUCAAUUUACUGUUUUAAGUAUUGCAGCUUAUUAAGCUUUUGUGAUAACAUUGUAUACAUAUCUAUUAUUAAUGAAUUCCAUGCCAUUAAUACAGCAAACCUUUCUACAAUGUUACACUUAAUAAAGCUAAUUUUUUUGUUCUUGUAAUUUGUGAUAUUUUCAAUGUUAAGUAAUGGCUAGAAUAUAAAUGUAUUGAAUCGCCCUGGUUUGUAUUGUCUGCUGAAUUAAGAUACCUGAGUAACCACGUUCGAUUGUCAAUGGUAAUGAACUUUCAGGCUUAAUACAGUGGGAUUGAAAUGCAAGUUUUGAAUAGUUCCUUGCAUAAGCUGAAAUAAAUACAGAAUUGAUGA
Molecule: long non-coding RNA, 972 nt
Organism: Rhincodon typus (whale shark)
Lineage: Eukaryota; Metazoa; Chordata; Chondrichthyes; Orectolobiformes; Rhincodontidae
Exons: 3
Source: RefSeq, a predicted model, not a curated record